Molecule: ribosomal RNA, 1418 nt
Filed under: uncultured bacterium
Lineage: Bacteria
Description: 16S ribosomal RNA
Rfam family: Bacterial small subunit ribosomal RNA
Source: RNAcentral
GGAAACGACAGGGAAGCUUGCUUCCUUGGGCGUCGACCGGCGCACGGGUGAGUAACGCGUAUCCAACCUGCCUCUGACUGAGGGAUAACCCGUCGAAAGUCGGCCUAAUACCUCAUGGCAUCGUCUGCGGGCAUCCAACGACGAUUAAAGAUUUCAUCGGUCAGGGAUGGGGAUGCGUCUGAUUAGCUGGUUGGCGGGGUAACGGCCCACCAAGGCGACGAUCAGUAGGGGUUCUGAGAGGAAGGUCCCGCACAUUGGAACUGAGGCACGGUCCAAACUCCUACGGGAGGCAGCAGUGAGGAAUAUUGGUCAAUGGGCGAGAGCCUGAACCAGCCAAGUAGCGUGCAGGAAGACGGCCCUAUGGGUUGUAAACUGCUUUUAUGCGGGGAUAAAGUGAGGGACGUGUCCUUCAUUGCAGGUACCGCAUGAAUAAGGACCGGCUAAUUCCGUGCCAGCAGCCGCGGUAAUACGGAAGGUCCGGGCGUUAUCCGGAUUUAUUGGGUGUAAAGGGAGCGUAGGCCGUGGAUUAAGCGUGUUGUGAAAUGCAGGAGCUCAACGUCUGCACUUCAGCGCGAAGCGGUCCAGUUCAGUGUGCACAACACAACGCGGAAGUAUUUUGUGGUGCGGCGAAAAAUGUUUAGAUAUGAGGAAGAACUCCGAUUGCGAAGGCAGCAGCUUGCGGGAGCACAACUGACGCUGAAGCUCGAAAGUGCGGGUAUCGAACAGGAUUAGAUACCCUGGUAGUCCGCACGGUAAACGAUGGAUGCCCGUUGUCAGGCUGUUUCAGCCUGGUGACCGAGCGAAAGCAUUAAGCAUCCCACCUGGGGAGUACGCCGGCAACGGUGAAACUCAAAGGAAUUGACGGGGGCCCGCACAAGCGGAGGAACAUGUGGUUUAAUUCGAUGAUACGCGAGGAACCUUACCCGGGCUUGAAUUGCAGACGAAGGCUUCAGAGAUGAAGCGGCCUUUCGGGGCGUCUGUGAAGGUGCUGCAUGGUUGUCGUCAGCUCGUGCCGUGAGGUGUCGGCUUAAGUGCCAUAACGAGCGCAACCCCUUUCUUCAGUUGCCAUCAGGUGAUGCUGGGCACUCUGUAGAUACUGCCACCGCAAGGUGCGAGGAAGGUGGGGAUGACGUCAAAUCAGCACGGCCCUUACGUCCGGGGCUACACACGUGUUACAAUGGCCGGUACAGAGAGUUGAUUUUGUGCAAACACGAUCCAAUCCUUAAAUCCGGUCCCAGUUCGGACUGGGGUCUGCAACCCGACCCCACGAAGCUGGAUUCGCUAGUAAUCGCGCAUCAGCCAUGGCGCGGUGAAUACGUUCCCGGGCCUUGUACACACCGCCCGUCAAGCCAUGAAAGCCGGGGGUGCCUGAAGUCUGUGACCGCAAGGAACGGCCUAGGGCAAAACCGGUGAUUGGG